GAGUAACACGUGUGCAACCAACCCCGUACCGGGAGAUAACCCGCGGAAACGUGGACUAACACCCCAUAAGACCUUUCCCCCGCAUGGGGGGGAGUUUAAAACCCCGGUGGUACGGGACGGGCACGCGCGACAUUAGGUAGUUGGCGGGGUAACGGCCCACCAAGCCGACGAUGUCUAGGGGUUCUGAGAGGAAGGUCCCCCACACUGGAACUGAGACACGGUCCAGACUCCUACGGGAGGCAGCAGUGAGGAAUAUUGGUCAAUGGGCGAGAGCCUGAACCAGCCAAGUCGCGUGAGGGAAGAAUGGUCUAUGGCCUGUAAACCUCUUUUGUCAAGGAAGAAUAAGCGGCACGAGUGCCACCUUGCCAGUACUUGACGAAUAAGCAUCGGCUAACUCCGUGCCAGCAGCCGCGGUAAUACGGGGGAUGCGAGCGUUAUCCGGAUUUAUUGGGUUUAAAGGGCGCGUAGGCGGGACGACAAGUCAGCGGUAAAAGACUGCAGCUAAACUGUAGCACGCCGUUGAAACUGUCGACCUGGAGACGAGACGAGGGAGGCGGAACAAGUGAAGUAGCGGUGAAAUGCAUAGAUAUCACUUGGAACCCCGAU
Molecule: ribosomal RNA, 606 nt
Filed under: uncultured bacterium
Lineage: Bacteria
Description: bacterial SSU rRNA
Rfam family: Bacterial small subunit ribosomal RNA
Source: RNAcentral